RNAcentral lists this non-coding RNA (179 nucleotides) under Peptococcaceae bacterium. Its description in RNAcentral is "6S RNA". It matches the Rfam family "6S / SsrS RNA". Rfam says of the family: E. coli 6S RNA was the first non coding RNA to be sequenced, but its function was unknown until recently. Lineage: Bacteria; Bacillati; Bacillota; Clostridia; Eubacteriales; Peptococcaceae. The record is from RNAcentral.
AGGUUUCUGCUUUGUUUGUGAGGAUUUUUUUGGUUUUGAUCCUAUAUUCUGAACGGGAACCGGAAGUGAGAUAUUUAGUACAUCAGACUUGAAAAAGUAGAUGGAAAGGUAUAUCCAGGUGCCCACCUUGCACUUGCAGGGUCAGAAAACCAGAUAUCUAACGGCAAAGCGGAAAAAGG